CCUACGGGAGGCUGCAGUGGGGAAUAUUGGACAAUGGGGGCAACCCUGAUCCAGCCAUGCCGCGUGUGUGAAGAAGGCCCUCGGGUUGUAAAGCACUUUCAGUGAGGAAGAACGCCUGGUGGUUAAUACCCAUCAGGAAAGACAUCACUCACAGAAGAAGCACCGGCUAACUCCGUGCCAGCAGCCGCGGUAAUACGGAGGGUGCGAGCGUUAAUCGGAAUUACUGGGCGUAAAGCGCGCGUAGGUGGCUUGAUAAGCCGGUUGUGAAAGCCCCGGGCUCAACCUGGGAUCGGCAUCCGGAACUGUCAAGCUAGAGUGCAGGAGAGGAAGGUAGAAUUCCCGGUGUAGCGGUGAAAUGCGUAGAGAUCGGGAGGAAUACCAGUGGCGAAGGCGGCCUUCUGGACUGACACUGACACUGAGGUGCGAAAGCGUGGGUAGCAAACAGGAUUAGAUACCCUGGUAGUC
RNAcentral lists this ribosomal RNA (465 nucleotides) under Vreelandella stevensii. RNAcentral describes it as "partial 16S ribosomal RNA". It matches the Rfam family "Bacterial small subunit ribosomal RNA", at positions 338 to 795 of the family's 1533-position model. The record is from RNAcentral. Lineage: Bacteria; Pseudomonadati; Pseudomonadota; Gammaproteobacteria; Oceanospirillales; Halomonadaceae.